RNAcentral lists this small nucleolar RNA (80 nucleotides) under Prunus persica (peach). Its description in RNAcentral is "snoRNA snoJ33". It matches the Rfam family "Small nucleolar RNA J33". From Rfam's summary of the family: J33 is a member of the C/D class of snoRNA which contain the C (UGAUGA) and D (CUGA) box motifs. The record is from Rfam by way of RNAcentral. RNAcentral also lists the same sequence under 3 other names. Lineage: Eukaryota; Viridiplantae; Streptophyta; Magnoliopsida; Rosales; Rosaceae.
CUGUAAGGGGAAUGAUGUAUUAUUAUCGGGCUCUUAAGAUGUUGGCUUUUCUGGAUUCGGCAUCAGAGAUGGACAUUCGG